This 132-nucleotide small RNA is filed under the name Klebsiella pneumoniae. Its description in RNAcentral is "RtT sRNA". It matches the Rfam family "RtT RNA". From Rfam's summary of the family: This family represents a bacterial cis-regulatory element known as RtT RNA. The record is from RNAcentral. Lineage: Bacteria; Pseudomonadati; Pseudomonadota; Gammaproteobacteria; Enterobacterales; Enterobacteriaceae.
CCCCACGGGGANNGGGGAAGGAUGAGAAGCUUCGACUAAGGUUCGACUCGAGCGAAGCGAGAGAACGUUGCCGCAGGCAACGGCCCGAAGGGCGAGGCGCUUUAGCGCCGAGUAAUCCUUCCCCCACCACCA